Molecule: long non-coding RNA, 1549 nt
Organism: Balaenoptera ricei (Rice's whale)
Lineage: Eukaryota; Metazoa; Chordata; Mammalia; Artiodactyla; Balaenopteridae
Exons: 5
Source: RefSeq, a predicted model, not a curated record
AGACAAACCAAAAUGGAUUUCUCAUGAAGUGUUAGCCAGUUAAAUUUGGUGCCUCACUCCAAGAUAAUCUUGCCAGCCUGUCAUUUCUUCAUUACCAAACAGAUUUUAAAAGGAUACAUCUUCAAAGAAGGUGAAGAAAGACACUGCAUCUACAGUAGCAUUUCCUACAGAAAGCCACUUGGAACCUCACUGUCUGAACAGCUGAUACAGUUUUGAAGGCUAAUGAGAGGCACAAGCGCCCGGUGGCAUGAGUGUCACAAAUACCUUUCUUUCUUCAUUUGCUUGAUUAUCUGCAAGUGACAAAAGAAGAAUUGAAGAGGAUGAAGCUGUCACAGUCUUGGAAUGUUGAAGAGAUUAUAAUCAGUCAACAAGUAUUUACUGAGUCUCAGUAAGACUAUUAAAUCAUGGAGCCAGUUGUGCCUAAGAGGAGCUGGAAUGAGCUUCAAAGGACAGAGCACAGUUGACAUGUAUAUAAGUAUUGCCAAGACUCCCUGUGGUUUUUAAAAGAAAUUGCAAUGGCUGGUAUUAAUUCUUGACAGUUUCAUUCCUAAUGUCAUCUGGUUGACAUAAAAGAGCCACUGUAAAUUUUGAAAAUGCGGAGAGCAGAAUGAGAAGAGAAAACCAGUGUAAUCUAAGAGUGAACUCUAAGGCACCUGAAGUGUUUUUUUUUUUUUUUAAUUGAAAGGAAAAAACAACUUGGUCUACGAAAACACUGACUUUCCAAAUUCCCAAUUAACAGCAAAUACAUAUUUUACAUCCUUUUCUUCCCCAUUGCACACAAAAAUGCCGUAAUGCCUUGUUAGAAGCUCUCUUAUUGAUGAAACAUUUUAUUUUGGCACGUUUGAUUACAGGUAGUGAUGUGCCUGACAAAUUGGUUUCAGUUUCUCUGACAUGCACAUAGAAUCCAUCUCUUCUUUGCUCUUAACACACUUUUUGAAAAGUCAUUAAGAGUAAGUGGGGGUGGUCUGAGACACCUUCGGUUUGCAAUGAAUAGUCAGUGAAACAAUAUGGGUAGAUCAUUUAAUAUAGUUGUAAUCGAUGGCUGCUGUUGCCUUUCUGGCCAAGCUGUUGCACAGGAACAGAUUUUUAAUUAAAUAAAUAGCUGGGUCGGCAGGCAGGUGCGCCUGGGCAAGCAACCUGCCCAGGGAUUUGGUUUGCAGCAGUUGCUUGGCAACACAACACAGCCGGUCUCCUGAACAACAGCUGCACCCUCUGUUAGCAGCUAGCAGAUGCUCACACCUCAGAGAAUGGCUUCAGAAAUAAUGAUUUGCAAAGAAUAGUUUGUGGAGCUCCCUAAUAAAUAGAAAAAAAAAAAUAGCCUGAAUGAUAAAGGUCAAAGAUAUUCCAGGCUGUUAUAAUGAAUGUGAAUUUGGAGCCGCUGAAAUUUUCAGAAGACAAUAAAGAUAAAAUAUUACCAUAUACUGUAGCUUAAAAAUAAAAGAAACUUCUAUUAUGCAUGAAGCAAAGUGAGAGGUGUUUUCAUAUAUCAAUACAUUAUCUCAUUGAAUUCUCAAAAACUUCUAAGGUAGUGUAACUAUAUUUCAGCAGA